GCUGCACGAAUGCAGCGAUCUGAGCAUCUGUGGUGACCACAGAAUGCGAGGAACUGGGCUCUGCUACCGGAGGUGGGGGAAGAGCAUCUUCUUGACGGGAAGAAUGUCUCGCCGAUUUGGUUGAAUGUUGGGCUUUGAUUUUCGAUAUGAUUGAUUGUAGUAUUCUCCUACCUCACACGUCAAUCUGUUGCAGCUAACUCCCUGC
RNAcentral lists this long non-coding RNA (205 nucleotides) under Elaeis guineensis (African oil palm). RNAcentral describes it as "long non-coding RNA (EGUI_LNC013820)". Lineage: Eukaryota; Viridiplantae; Streptophyta; Magnoliopsida; Arecales; Arecaceae. The record is from RNAcentral.